GUUGAACGCUGGCGGCAGGCCUAACACAUGCAAGUCGAGCGGAGCGGCGGACGGGUGAGUGAGGACUAGGAAUCUGCCUGGUAGUGGGGGAUAACGUCCGGAAACGGGAGCUAAUACCGCAGACUAGCAGAUGAGCCUAGGGCGGAUUAGCUAGUUGGUGGGGUAAAGGCUUACCAAGGCGACGAUCCGAAACUGGUCUGAGAGGAUGAUCAGUCACACUGGGACUGAGACACGGUCCAGACUCCUACGGGAGGCAGCAGUGGGGAAUAUUGGACAAUGGGCGAAAGCCUGAUCCAGCCAUGCCGCGUGUGUGAAGAAGGUUUUCGGAUUGUAAAGCACUUUAAGUUGGGAGGCGUUACCAACAGAAUAAGCACCGGCUAACUUCGUGCCAGCAGCCGCGGUAAUUC
This 407-nucleotide ribosomal RNA is filed under the name uncultured bacterium. RNAcentral's name for it is "partial 16S ribosomal RNA". It matches the Rfam family "Bacterial small subunit ribosomal RNA", at positions 28 to 526 of the family's 1533-position model. The record is from RNAcentral.